AGAACGAACGCUGGCGGCAUGCCUAACACAUGCAAGUCGAACGAGACCUUCGGGUCUAGUGGCGCACGGGUGCGUAACGCGUGGGAAUCUGCCCUUAGGUACGGAAUAACUCAGGGAAACUUGUGCUAAUACCGUAUGAUGUCGAGAGACCAAAGAUUUAUCGCCUAGGGAUGAGCCCGCGUAGGAUUAGCUAGUUGGUGGGGUAAAGGCCUACCAAGGCUACGAUCCUUAGCUGGUCUGAGAGGAUGAUCAGCCACACUGGGACUGAGACACGGCCCAGACUCCUACGGGAGGCAGCAGUGGGGAAUAUUGGACAAUGGGCGAAAGCCUGAUCCAGCAAUGCCGCGUGAGUGAAGAAGGCCUUCGGGUUGUAAAGCUCUUUUCUUGGGAAGAACAAAUGACGGUACCCAAGGAAUCAGCAUCGGCUAACUCCGUGCCAGCAGCCGC
This 447-nucleotide ribosomal RNA is filed under the name uncultured bacterium. RNAcentral describes it as "SSU rRNA". It matches the Rfam family "Bacterial small subunit ribosomal RNA", at positions 26 to 518 of the family's 1533-position model. The record is from RNAcentral.